UUCCCCCACCACCCUUCGGCGAGGAGUAAGUGCCACCGCUCCGCCUUCUCCUUUUCGCAAUGUUGACGCAAUCUAUAAAUAGUGGAACAAAAGGACCAACUUCCUCGCAGCUUUGCUGAAACUGCACAAAAAAGGCAACCGGGGGGGUGGGGGGACACACACGCGGUUAUUUUUUGAUUUUAUUUUUCUCCGGUUAAAAGGCGAAUCCUCCUCCCUUCCUCCCUCUCUCCCCUUCCCCCCCGCCCCCCCUCGCUACUGGAAGAUCUUUUUUAUUUUCCCUUGCUGCCUCCUAUGCUGGCAACGUCCUGCAAGUGGCUAUUUUGCUUUUGCACCGAGAGAAGAGCUUCCCCCCUCGCCCUCUCUUCUGACACUUAUGGAUGAAAUCCACACUGAUGUCUAACCUGUAAUGAGUCCCAAUGUUUUGACCUUUCAAUAGAGAGCUGAUUUUGGAGAACGGCUUACUCCUGUGAUUGAAAAACUCUCUGGAAGGUUGAUGGAGCAUGAGCAUGAUAGCCCUCACAAUUUCCAGAAGCUGUCUGUCAUGACCUGACUAGAAGGCUUAUUGCAAUGGAGUACCAUGCUUGGGUCCAUGCUGUGAGAAUCUUUCAUUGAGAUGAUUGAAAUUGCUGCAGUGAGAGUGGAAAUUACUUGGGCUCCUUUCCUUUUAAAAGCUGCAUGCAAGAACUGUGUGAACCGAAGAACAUCUUAAUGCCACCAGAGUGGGAGGACAGGACAGAGGAGUGUUCUGCAAGAGACAGUUACAUGUUAUUUCACAGACCUCAGCGACAGCUUUCACAAAGCCACACAGCAGCAUAGCUCAGGAUGUUCUCCUUACACUGCUCUCAGCUAGCUGCAAGAGUCAGUGAGUGGAAGCAAUAAUCAAUUGUUGGGGUCUGCAUUCCUCCUCCAGCCACUUCUCCAAACUGUUGGGAUGACAGUUGAAUCAAGAUGUUAUUUCUUCAUGUAUUACCAUGUUUUUAAAAUCUAUUUGCAGAUUAGCACAGAACAUAAAAACAAUUUUCUAGAAGGGAUGGCUGAUGUAUUGUGAGUCCUCAUGUAAAUUUUAGCCACCAUGAAAAAACAAAAACAAUUCUUGGAAAUGCUGAAAUCUGGUGGUCUUCUUUUACUUAAAGAGGGCAGAGUGGCAGAAGGCAAGAAAGUAAUUUUUUUCCCUAAAUACUUGAAAGAAAACAUGUUUGUUACUUCCCUCAAUAGCCGCACUUUCAAACAAGCCAAAACAAACAAAAAAAGGCCACUAGUGCUGACACAUCCCUCUUCUACAUUCAAAAGAUGGAAGGAAAAGCCUUUAUU
Long non-coding RNA from Catharus ustulatus (Swainson's thrush), 1311 nucleotides. RefSeq lists it as uncharacterized. The transcript is spliced from 6 exons. The record is from RefSeq and is a predicted model, not a curated record. NCBI's taxonomy places the organism in Eukaryota, Metazoa, Chordata, Aves, Passeriformes, Turdidae.